Molecule: unclassified non-coding RNA, 205 nt
Filed under: soil metagenome
Description: partial contains 5.8S ribosomal RNA, internal transcribed spacer 2, and large subunit ribosomal RNA
Source: RNAcentral
AACCUUAUGGACCUGCGGGCGUAUACCUGCGGAAGGAUCAUUACAUUCAGUAGCCUAGCUACUUGUUUACACCCUUGUUUUUUUGCGCACUUCAUUGUAUCCCUCGGCGGGCUUGCUCGCCGGUUGGACAACAUUUAUAACCUUUUUUAAUCUUCAAUCAGCGUCUGAAUUAUAUUUAAUAAUUACAACUUUUAACAACGGAUCU